GGUGAAGCAGAAUAAAAUAUAAAGCAUGGAAUGGUAUUGUUCUUUUUCAAUAAAUCACCAUGAAUACAAAGAUUACAUACAUAGUCGGAGAGAAGUAUGCUUGCUAGGAGAUACAAAGGCCAAGAAACCAUAUGACCUUCUGAAAAAAUUACAAUCCUCAACAGUCUAGUCCACAUGUCUGUGUAGAGCUUUGCCUAGCUUAGAAUAUCCAAAAUCAUAGGUCA
RNAcentral lists this long non-coding RNA (224 nucleotides) under Elaeis guineensis (African oil palm). Its description in RNAcentral is "long non-coding RNA (EGUI_LNC029320)". The record is from RNAcentral. Lineage: Eukaryota; Viridiplantae; Streptophyta; Magnoliopsida; Arecales; Arecaceae.